RNAcentral lists this ribosomal RNA (531 nucleotides) under uncultured bacterium. RNAcentral describes it as "bacterial SSU rRNA". It matches the Rfam family "Bacterial small subunit ribosomal RNA", at positions 777 to 1297 of the family's 1533-position model. The record is from RNAcentral.
AAUAGAUACCCCGGUAGUCCACGCUGUAAACGAUGAUCACUAGACGUCGGUUCGGCAUAGCCGGAUCGGUGUCGAAGCUAACGCGUUAAGUGAUUCACCUGGGGAUUACGGUCGCAAGACUAAAACUCAAAGGAAUUGACGGGGGUCCGCACAAGCGGUGGAACANUGUGGUUUAAUUCGACACUACGCGAGGAACCUUACCUGGGUUUGACAUGCAUUUGACUGUCAUAGAAAUAUGAUUUUUCGGGCUUCGGUUCGAACAGAUGCACAGGUGCUGCAUGGCUGUCGUCAGCCCGUGUCGUGAGAUGUUGGGUUAAGUCCUUUAACGAGCGCAACCCCUGCCAUUAGUUGCUACCUAUCUUUGAUAGGGCACUCUAAUGGGACUGCCUGGGAAACUAGGAGGAAGGUGGGGAUGACGUCAAGUCAUCAUGGCCCUUAUGUCCAGGGCUACACACGUGUUACAAUGGCUGGUACAAAGGGUUGCAAAGCUGUGAAGUGAAGCAAAUCCCAUAAAGCCAGUCUAAGUUCGGU